Molecule: ribosomal RNA, 497 nt
Filed under: uncultured bacterium
Lineage: Bacteria
Description: partial 16S ribosomal RNA
Rfam family: Bacterial small subunit ribosomal RNA
Source: RNAcentral
GAUGAACGCUGGCGGCGUGCCUAAUACAUGCAAGUCGAGCGAACAGACGAGGAGCUUGCUCCUCUGACGUUAGCGGCGGACGGGUGAGUAACACGUGGAUAACCUACCUAUAAGACUGGGAUAACUUCGGGAAACCGGAGCUAAUACCGGAUAAUAUAUUGAACCGCAUGGUUCAAUAGUGAAAGACGGUUUUGCUGUCACUUAUAGAUGGAUCCGCGCCGCAUUAGCUAGUUGGUAAGGUAACGGCUUACCAAGGCAACGAUGCGUAGCCGACCUGUGAGGGUGAUCGGCCACACUGGAACUGAGACACGGUCCAGACUCCUACGGGAGGCAGCAGUAGGGAAUCGUCCGCAAUGGGCGAAAGCCUGACGGAGCAACGCCGCGUGAGUGAUGAAGGUCUUCGGAUCGUAAAACUCUGUUAUUAGGGAAGAACAAAUGUGUAAGUAACUAUGCACGUCUUGACGGUACCUAAUCAGAAAGCCACGGCUAACUACGUG